GGUUAAGCGACUAAGCGUACACGGUGGAUGCCCUGGCAGUCAGAGGCGAUGAAGGACGUGCUAAUCUGCGAUAAGCGUCGGUGAGGUGAUAUGAACCGUUAUAACCGGCGAUUUCCGAAUGGGGAAACCCAGUGUGUUUCGACACACUAUCAUUAACUGAAUCCAUAGGUUAAUGAGGCGAACCGGGGGAACUGAAACAUCUAAGUACCCCGAGGAAAAGAAAUCAACCGAGAUUCCCCCAGUAGCGGCGAGCGAACGGGGAGGAGCCCAGAGCCUGAAUCAGUGUGUGUGUUAGUGGAAGCGUCUGGAAAGGCGCGCGAUACAGGGUGACAGCCCCGUACACAAAAAUGCACAUAUUGUGAGCUCGAUGAGUAGGGCGGGACACGUGGUAUCCUGUCUGAAUAUGGGGGGACCAUCCUCCAAGGCUAAAUACUCCUGACUGACCGAUAGUGAACCAGUACCGUGAGGGAAAGGCGAAAAGAACCCCGGCGAGGGGAGUGAAAAAGAACCUGAAACCGUGUACGUACAAGCAGUGGGAGCCUCUUAAUGGGGUGACUGCGUACCUUUUGUAUAAUGGGUCAGCGACUUAUAUUCUGUAGCAAGGUUAACCGAAUAGGGGAGCCGAAGGGAAACCGAGUCUUAACUGGGCGUUAAGUUGCAGGGUAUAGACCCGAAACCCGGUGAUCUAGCCAUGGGCAGGUUGAAGGUUGGGUAACACUAACUGGAGGACCGAACCGACUAAUGUUGAAAAAUUAGCGGAUGACUUGUGGCUGGGGGGUAGAGCACUGUUUCGGCAAGGGGGUCAUCCCGACUUACCAACCCGAUGCAAACUGCGAAUACCGGAGAAUGUUAUCACGGGAGACACACGGCGGGUGCUAACGUCCGUCGUGAAGAGGGAAACAACCCAGACCGCCAGCUAAGGUCCCAAAGUCAUGGUUAAGUGGGAAACGAUGUGGGAAGGCCCAGACAGCCAGGAUGUUGGCUUAGAAGCAGCCAUCAUUUAAAGAAAGCGUAAUAGCUCACUGGUCGAGUCGGCCUGCGCGGAAGAUGUAACGGGGCUAAACCAUGCACCGAAGCUGCGGCAGCGACACUAUGUGUUGUUGGGUAGGGGAGCGUUCUGUAAGCCUGUGAAGGUGGCCUGUGAGGGUUGCUGGAGGUAUCAGAAGUGCGAAUGCUGACAUAAGUAACGAUAAAGCGGGUGAAAAGCCCGCUCGCCGGAAGACCAAGGGUUCCUGUCCAACGUUAAUCGGGGCAGGGUGAGUCGACCCCUAAGGCGAGGCCGAAAGGCGUAGUCGAUGGGAAACAGGUUAAUAUUCCUGUACUUGGUGUUACUGCGAAGGGGGGACGGAGAAGGCUAUGUUGGCCGGGCGACGGUUGUCCCGGUUUAAGCGUGUAGGCUGGUUUUCCAGGCAAAUCCGGAAAACCAAGGCUGAGGCGUGAUGACGAGGCACUACGGUGCUGAAGCGACAAAUGCCCUGCUUCCAGGAAAAGCCUCUAAGCAUCAGGUAACAUCAAAUCGUACCCCAAACCGACACAGGUGGUCAGGUAGAGAAUACCAAGGCGCUUGAGAGAACUCGGGUGAAGGAACUAGGCAAAAUGGUGCCGUAACUUCGGGAGAAGGCACGCUGAUAUGUAGGUGAAGCGACUUGCUCGUGGAGCUGAAAUCAGUCGAAGAUACCAGCUGGCUGCAACUGUUUAUUAAAAACACAGCACUGUGCAAACACGAAAGUGGACGUAUACGGUGUGACGCCUGCCCGGUGCCGGAAGGUUAAUUGAUGGGGUUAGCGGUAACGCGAAGCUCUUGAUCGAAGCCCCGGUAAACGGCGGCCGUAACUAUAACGGUCCUAAGGUAGCGAAAUUCCUUGUCGGGUAAGUUCCGACCUGCACGAAUGGCGUAAUGAUGGCCAGGCUGUCUCCACCCGAGACUCAGUGAAAUUGAACUCGCUGUGAAGAUGCAGUGUACCCGCGGCAAGACGGAAAGACCCCGUGAACCUUUACUAUAGCUUGACACUGAACAUUGAGCCUUGAUGUGUAGGAUAGGUGGGAGGCUUUGAAGUGUGGACGCCAGUCUGCAUGGAGCCGACCUUGAAAUACCACCCUUUAAUGUUUGAUGUUCUAACGUGGGCCCCUAAUCGGGGUUGCGGACAGUGUCUGGUGGGUAGUUUGACUGGGGCGGUCUCCUCCUAAAGAGUAACGGAGGAGCACGAAGGUUGGCUAAUCCUGGUCGGACAUCAGGAGGUUAGUGCAAUGGCAUAAGCCAGCUUGACUGCGAGCGUGACGGCGCGAGCAGGUGCGAAAGCAGGUCAUAGUGAUCCGGUGGUUCUGAAUGGAAGGGCCAUCGCUCAACGGAUAAAAGGUACUCCGGGGAUAACAGGCUGAUACCGCCCAAGAGUUCAUAUCGACGGCGGUGUUUGGCACCUCGAUGUCGGCUCAUCACAUCCUGGGGCUGAAGUAGGUCCCAAGGGUAUGGCUGUUCGCCAUUUAAAGUGGUACGCGAGCUGGGUUUAGAACGUCGUGAGACAGUUCGGUCCCUAUCUGCCGUGGGCGCUGGAGAACUGAGGGGGCUGCUCCUAGUACGAGAGGACCGGAGUGGACGCAUCACUGGUGUUCGGGUUGUCAUGCCAAUGGCACUGCCCGGUAGCUAAAUGCGGAAGAGAUAAGUGCUGAAAGCAUCUAAGCACGAAACUUGCCCCGAGAUGAGUUCUCCCUGAGACUUAGAGUCUCCUGAAGGAACGUUGAAGACGACGACGUUGAUAGGCCGGGUGUGUAAGCGCAGCGAUGCGUUGAGCUAACCGGUACUAAUGAACCGUGAGGCUUAACCUU
This 2823-nucleotide ribosomal RNA is filed under the name Escherichia coli. RNAcentral's name for it is "23S ribosomal RNA". It matches the Rfam family "Bacterial large subunit ribosomal RNA". Lineage: Bacteria; Pseudomonadati; Pseudomonadota; Gammaproteobacteria; Enterobacterales; Enterobacteriaceae. The record is from RNAcentral.